This 437-nucleotide long non-coding RNA is filed under the name Sander lucioperca (pikeperch). Its description in RNAcentral is "lncRNA (ENSSLUG00000004882.1)". Lineage: Eukaryota; Metazoa; Chordata; Actinopteri; Perciformes; Percidae. The record is from RNAcentral.
AUUAGGGGGCUCGAAGGUAACAUUGGUGGACCAGGCCUUACUGGACCCAGGGGUUUCCAAGGAAUGCCAGGACACCCAGGACCUAUAGGAGAAAGGGGCUACUCAGGACCUGUGGGACCUACGGGUCUGCCAGGGGGGAAAGGGGAGCGAGGAGAGAAGGUGGGUUAUAGCUGAACAAUCUUUUUCUUAUUGUAACACUGACAUCAUUUAAAAGCUCAUUCCACUGAGCCACAUUUGAUCAUUGCUUUUUACUGUGCUUAAAAGCAUAAAAAAUGUAUAAAAGUAUAAUUUCAUAAUAAUACUUUGGUACUCGUUUAAAUUGUGGUUGGUGAAUGCGCUGAUGUUUAACAGGGGGAACCUCAGUCUAUGGCCAUGAUCUACAAACUGGUCACACAGGCCUGUGAGCAACUAGUGCAUAGUAAGUACUCUGGGACCUC